RNAcentral lists this ribosomal RNA (895 nucleotides) under uncultured archaeon. RNAcentral describes it as "bacterial SSU rRNA". It matches the Rfam family "Archaeal small subunit ribosomal RNA", at positions 23 to 924 of the family's 1478-position model. The record is from RNAcentral.
CUGACUGCUAUCGGAUUGGUACUAAGCCAUGUGAGUCAUUGUAGCAAUACAAGGCAUACGGCUCAGUAACACGUAGUCAAUCUGCCCUAUGGACGUGGAUAACCUCGGGAAACUGAGAAUAAUCCGCGAUAGAUCAUAAUGCCUGGAACGGUUUAUGGUCCAAAUGAUUCGUCGCCAUAGGAUGGGACUGCGGCCUAUCAGCUUGUUGGUGAGGUAAUGGCCCACCAAGGCUAUUACAGGUACGGGCUCUGAGAGGAGAAGCCCGGAGAUGGGUACUGAGACACGGACCCAGGCCCUAUGGGGCGCAGCAGGCGAGAAACCUUUGCAAUGUGCGCAAGCACGACAAGGUUAAUCCGAGUGUUUCCUGCUAAAGGAAUCUUUUGUUAGUUCUAAAACCACUGAUGAAUAAGGGGUGGGCAAGUUCUGGUGUCAGCCGCCGCGGUAAAACCAGCACCUCAAGUGGUCAGGAGGAUUAUUGGGCCUAAAGCAUCCGUAGCCGGUUCUGUAAGUUUCCGGUUAAAUCCACUAGCUCAACUAAUGGGCUGCCGGAAAUACUGCAGAACUAGGGAGUGGGAGAGGUAGACGGUACUCGGGAGGAAGGGGUAAAAUCCUUUGAUCUCUUGAUGACCACCUGUGGCGAAGGCGGUCUACCAGAACACGUUCGACGGUGAGGGAUGAAAGCUGGGGGAGCAAACCGGAUUAGAUACCCGGGUAGUCCCAGCUGUAAACGAUGCAGACUCGGUGAUGCACUGGCUUUUGGCUAGUGCAGUGCCGCAGGGAAGCCGUUAAGUUUGCCGCCUGGGAAGUACGUACGCAAGUAUGAAACUUAAAGGAAUUGGCGGGGGAGCACCACAAGGGGUGAAGCCUGCGGUUCAAUUGGAUUCAACGCCGGAAA